Molecule: non-coding RNA, 518 nt
Organism: Phascolarctos cinereus (koala)
Lineage: Eukaryota; Metazoa; Chordata; Mammalia; Diprotodontia; Phascolarctidae
Source: RefSeq, a predicted model, not a curated record
ACUUCACCAGAGUGAAGAGAGCAGAAUCCACUCACUAACUUCUUGUAGUCCAGUGGGUUUUAACCAGUUUUUUUUCUCUCGUGGACCCCUCUGAUAAUUUGGUGAAUUCUAACACUACUGGAGUUUGUCAUUCAUGACUGAAGGAAAUGCUAAAUUUCAGUUACAGAACCCUGAACUCCAGAGCUGUCUUCUAGAGAUAACUUGGUAAAAAGUCACUGCUUGGUUGUGACCUAACAUGCAGAAAAGCAGAUUUGGGAAAUGUACUGGACAGUCACCACAAAUUAGGAUGAAUGAGGGCUCUCACAGUGGGGAUCCAGCCCUUUUACAGAAAGAGUUGUCCUAAAGGAUGACCUGCUCUCCCACCUUCUAUCUGCGAGGUGGCAGGACCCAGAGGUGUUAUAUGAUCAGCAAGAUGGUGAUAUGUGUUGUUUUCAACAGAACUUUCCAACUCUAGCAACCUCAAAUCAAGAAGAAAUACAUCAUAAAUAAUAAUAAAACUAUGGCAACAAAAGAAGACA